UGAGGAAUAUUGGUCAAUGGGCGCAAGCCUGAACCAGCCAUCCCGCGUGCAGGAAGACGGCCCUAUGGGUUGUAAACUGCUUUUCCAGGGAGAGAAACUUGCGUACGCGUUGCGCAAUUGACGGUACCCUGGGAAUAAGCAUCAGCUAACUCCGUGCCAGCAGCCGCGGUAAUACGGAGGAUGCGAGCGUUAUCCGGAUUCAUUGGGUUUAAAGGGUGCGUAGGCGGACUAUUAAGUCAGUGGUGAAAUCCUGCAGCUUAACUGCAGAACUGCCAUUGAUACUGAUAGCCUUGAGUUUGGUUAAGGUAGGCGGAAUGUGUAAUGUAGCGGUGAAAUGCUUAGAUAUAACACAGAACACCAAUUGCGAAGGCAGCUUACUGGGAUACAACUGACGCUGAGGCACGAAAGCGUGGGGAUCAAACA
This 423-nucleotide ribosomal RNA is filed under the name uncultured prokaryote. RNAcentral's name for it is "bacterial SSU rRNA". It matches the Rfam family "Bacterial small subunit ribosomal RNA", at positions 355 to 774 of the family's 1533-position model. The record is from RNAcentral.